AGAGCGAACGCUGGCGGCAGGCCUAAUACAUGCAAGUCGAGCGCACCUUCGGGUGAGCGGCGGACGGGUGAGUAACGCGUGGGAAUGUGCCCUUUGGUACGGAACAACUGAGGGAAACUUCAGCUAAUACCGUAUGUGCCCUUCGGGGGAAAGAUUUAUCGCCAUUGGAGCAGCCCGCGUUGGAUUAGGUAGUUGGUGAGGUAAAGGCUCACCAAGCCUACGAUCCAUAGCUGGUCUGAGAGGAUGAUCAGCCACACUGGGACUGAGACACGGCCCAGACUCCUACGGGAGGCAGCAGUAGGGAAUCUUGCGCAAUGGGCGAAAGCCUGACGCAGCCAUGCCGCGUGAAUGAUGAAGGUCUUAGGAUUGUAAAAUUCUUUCACCGGGAAGAUAAUGACGGUACCCGGAGAAGAAGCCCGGCUAACUUCGCGCCAGCAGCCGC
Molecule: ribosomal RNA, 442 nt
Filed under: uncultured bacterium
Lineage: Bacteria
Description: SSU rRNA
Rfam family: Bacterial small subunit ribosomal RNA
Source: RNAcentral